GAUAAUUGAGACAUGUUGGACUGUGGACUUUGCUUGCUUGCCAUCGUGCUCAUUCGCACACGCUUGUGAGGGUAGCUCCCUACAAGCCGGCAUUCCGGAGUUGGCCUAUGCGACAGUUGCUCGUCCGUGCGGGAUUGGGUGCCGAAGUGGAUUGCCGUGGGGAGUGUAUACUACCACGGGGCCAUUAGGCGCGGCGCAAGCCGGACUACCUUGGGUAGGUCCU
RNAcentral lists this long non-coding RNA (223 nucleotides) under Ananas comosus (pineapple). Its description in RNAcentral is "long non-coding RNA (ACOM_LNC005292)". Lineage: Eukaryota; Viridiplantae; Streptophyta; Magnoliopsida; Poales; Bromeliaceae. The record is from RNAcentral.